Molecule: ribosomal RNA, 253 nt
Filed under: uncultured bacterium
Lineage: Bacteria
Description: partial 16S ribosomal RNA
Rfam family: Bacterial small subunit ribosomal RNA
Source: RNAcentral
UACGGAGGAUCCAAGCGUUAUCCGGAUUUAUUGGGUUUAAAGGGUGCGUAGGUGGCUUUUUAAGUCAGGGGUGAAAGACGGUAGCUUAACUAUCGCAGUGCCUUUGAUACUGAAGAGCUUGAAUGAACUAGAGGUAGGCGGAAUGUGACAAGUAGCGGUGAAAUGCAUAGAUAUGUCACAGAACACCAAUUGCGAAGGCAGCUUACUAUGGUUUUAUUGACACUGAGGCACGAAAUCGUGGGGAUCAAACAGG